Molecule: ribosomal RNA, 305 nt
Filed under: uncultured bacterium
Lineage: Bacteria
Description: bacterial SSU rRNA
Rfam family: Bacterial small subunit ribosomal RNA
Source: RNAcentral
GGCCUACGGGGGGCAGCAGUGAGGAAUAUUGGUCAAUGGGCGGGAGCCUGAACCAGCCAAGCCGCGUGAAGGAAGAAGGCGCCAAGCGUCGUAAACUUCUUUUGUCGGGGAACAAAGGGCGCCACGUGUGGCGUUGUGAGUGUACCCGAAGAAAAAGCAUCGGCUAACUCCGUGCCAGCAGCCGCGGUAAUACGGAGGAUGCGAGCGUUAUCCGGAUUUAUUGGGUUUAAAGGGUGCGCAGGCGGAUUUUUAAGUCAGCGGUCAAAUCGUGGGGCUCAACCCCAUCCAGCCGUUGAAACUGGGGG